GGAAUAUAAGAACCCGUCUUUUAACUUUUAACUAAAAAUACUAAGAACCGGCUCUUAAAUAAGAGUUUUAAAAAACGGUUCUUAGUUUUUUUAGUUAAAAGUUAAGAGACGGAUUCUUAUAUUCC
Brassica oleracea var. oleracea is the source of this 125-nucleotide microRNA precursor. It matches the Rfam family "MIR9563 microRNA precursor family". The record is from Rfam. Lineage: Eukaryota; Viridiplantae; Streptophyta; Magnoliopsida; Brassicales; Brassicaceae.